RNAcentral lists this ribosomal RNA (324 nucleotides) under Triticum aestivum (bread wheat). RNAcentral describes it as "partial small subunit ribosomal RNA". Lineage: Eukaryota; Viridiplantae; Streptophyta; Magnoliopsida; Poales; Poaceae. The record is from RNAcentral.
AUGCAAGAAUUGGGAGAUGUGUACUGCUCGGUUGAGAAGUGGUGCGAAUUGAUGAAAAAAUUCACACCCAGACAGCGCAUGAUGCUACGUGGCACAAAUUUGGACAACGGCAUCAGUGUGCUUAAUGAAGAUGUUUAUGACAUAUUCGGGAUACGUAACGAGGGUGAUGAUUCAUAUGAUGAUGAUUUUGUGAGAAGGGCCGUACUGGUUCUUAUGGGUACAGUCUUAGCACCACAAUCCACCAAGUUUGUUCCUUAUCGUUAUUACAAAAUGGUGGAGGACGUGAACGCUAUCAAGUCAUACAAUUGGAACGAUUUCACGUAG